GAUGAACGCUGGCGGUGUGCCUAAUACAUGCAAGCCGAGCGAACAGACGAGGAGCUUACUCCUCUGACGUUAGCGGCGGACGGGUGAGUAACACGUGGAUAACCUACCUAUAAGACUGGGAUAACUUCGGGAAACCGGAGCUAAUACCGGAUAACAUGUUGAACCGCAUGGUUCAACAGUGAAAGUCGGUCUUUCUGUCACUUAUAGAUGGAUCCGCGUCGCAUUAGCUAGUUGGUAAGGUAACGGCUUACCAAGGCAACGAUGCGUAGCCGACCUGAGAGGGUGAUCGGCCACACUGGAACUGAGACACGGUCCAGACUCCUACGGGAGGCAGCAGUAGGGAAUCUUCCGCAAUGGGGGAGAGCCUGACGGAGCAACGCCGCGUGAGUGAAGAAGGUCUUCGGAUCGUAAAACUCUGUUAUUAGGGAAGAACAAAUGUGUAAGUAACUAUGCACGUAUUGACGGUACCUAAUCAGAAAGCCACGGCUAACUACGUG
This 497-nucleotide ribosomal RNA is filed under the name uncultured bacterium. RNAcentral's name for it is "partial 16S ribosomal RNA". It matches the Rfam family "Bacterial small subunit ribosomal RNA", at positions 28 to 507 of the family's 1533-position model. The record is from RNAcentral.